GACCUUCUGAAUCCAUGCAGAGAUUUCUUCAGACACCAACCCAUUAGAGCUGACCAGACUUCCGAGAUAAGUGAAGUU
Molecule: non-coding RNA, 78 nt
Organism: Schistosoma margrebowiei
Lineage: Eukaryota; Metazoa; Platyhelminthes; Trematoda; Strigeidida; Schistosomatidae
Source: Rfam